CCUACGGGUGGCAGCAGUGGGGAAUAUUGCGCAAUGGGCGAAAGCCUGACGCAGCGACGCCGCGUGAGGGAUGACGGUCUUCGGAUCGUAAACCUCUGUCAGCAGGGAAGAACGGUCACUGUGCUAAUCAGCCGUGAAUUGACGGUACCUGCAAAGGAAGCACCGGCUAACUCCGUGCCAGCAGCCGCGGUAAUACGGAGGGUGCGAGCGUUAAUCGGAAGUACUGGGCGUAAAGCGCUCGUAGGCGGUAUGUCAAGUCAAGGGUGAAAUCCCCGCGCACAACGUGGGCACUGCCUUUGAAACUGGCAAACUGGAGUGUGUGAGAGGAUAGCGGAAUGCCAGGUGUAGGAGUGAAAUCCGUAGAUAUCUGGAGGAACAUCAGUGGCGAAGGCGACUAUCUGGCACAUAACUGACGCUGAGGAGCGAAAGCGUGGGUAGCAAACAGGAUUAGAUACCCUAGUAGUC
RNAcentral lists this ribosomal RNA (465 nucleotides) under uncultured bacterium. RNAcentral describes it as "partial 16S ribosomal RNA". It matches the Rfam family "Bacterial small subunit ribosomal RNA", at positions 338 to 795 of the family's 1533-position model. The record is from RNAcentral.